This is a long non-coding RNA of Hibiscus syriacus, 225 nucleotides long. RefSeq lists it as uncharacterized. NCBI's taxonomy places the organism in Eukaryota, Viridiplantae, Streptophyta, Magnoliopsida, Malvales, Malvaceae. The record is from RefSeq and is a predicted model, not a curated record. The transcript has 3 exons.
CUUGCUUCUCCUGGUACCAAAUCAGAACCUGAUUGUUGAGUGCUAAGAAGCGUAGAAGUAUGACAUUUGAGCUUGUGUCAUUGCAUAGAGAAGUGAAACAAGGUUGUCGAAGACCUCAGAACAUCAGUGUGGCUGAAGCUGAAUGGGCACAUUCAGCAAAUCGAUUGAUUGAUAAGAUUGAAUAUUAACCUGAAAUGAUUGAAGAUUGGUCACCAGUGCUUAGAU